This 350-nucleotide RNase P RNA is filed under the name Candidatus Acetothermia bacterium. RNAcentral describes it as "RNase P RNA component class A". It matches the Rfam family "Bacterial RNase P class A". Rfam says of the family: Ribonuclease P (RNase P) is a ubiquitous endoribonuclease, found in archaea, bacteria and eukarya as well as chloroplasts and mitochondria. The record is from RNAcentral. Lineage: Bacteria; Candidatus Bipolaricaulota.
AGAGAGGGCCGGAGGGCCGCGGCCGAGCGCCUUGCCGCUCGGUCGAGGAAAGUCCGGACUCCACAGGGCAGGCCGCUGGGCGCAAGCCCAGGAGGGGCGACCCUCGGGUAAGGCCACAGAGACCAGACCGCCUCGCUUGGGGCAAGGGUGAAAGGGUGCCGCUAGAGGCGGCUUCAAGGGGUAAGAGCCCACCGCCGGCCCGGGCGACCGGGCCGGGCUGGCAGCCCCCCGGCCGGAGCAAGGUCGAGUAGGGAGGAAGACGAGGGCGGCCCGCCCUCUCGCCUCCGGGUGGACCGCCAAGAUGGAUGGCCCUCUUAAACACAGAAUCCGGCUUACGGCCCUCUCUGCGC